UCCCUGCUGGCUCAGACAGUAAAGAAUCCACCUGCAAUGUGGGAGACCUGGGUUUGAUCCCUGGGUAGGGAA
This 72-nucleotide transfer RNA is filed under the name Ovis aries (sheep). It matches the Rfam family "tRNA". Rfam says of the family: Transfer RNA (tRNA) molecules are approximately 80 nucleotides in length. Their secondary structure includes four short double-helical elements and three loops (D, anti-codon, and T loops). Further hydrogen bonds mediate the characteristic L-shaped molecular structure. tRNAs have two regions of fundamental functional importance: the anti-codon, which is responsible for specific mRNA codon recognition, and the 3' end, to which the tRNAs corresponding amino acid is attached (by aminoacyl-tRNA synthetases). tRNAs cope with the degeneracy of the genetic code in two manners: having more than one tRNA (with a specific anti-codon) for a particular amino acid; and 'wobble' base-pairing, i.e. permitting non-standard base-pairing at the 3rd anti-codon position. The record is from Rfam by way of RNAcentral. Lineage: Eukaryota; Metazoa; Chordata; Mammalia; Artiodactyla; Bovidae.